This 468-nucleotide ribosomal RNA is filed under the name uncultured bacterium. Its description in RNAcentral is "partial 16S ribosomal RNA". It matches the Rfam family "Bacterial small subunit ribosomal RNA", at positions 28 to 507 of the family's 1533-position model. The record is from RNAcentral.
GACGAACGCUGGCGGCGUGCUUAACACAUGCAAGUCGAACGGAAAGGCCCUGCUUUUGUGGGGUGCUCGAGUGGCGAACGGGUGAGUAACACGUGAGUAACCUGCCCUUGACUUUGGGAUAACUUCAGGAAACUGGGGCUAAUACCGGAUAGGAGCUCCUGCUGCAUGGUGGGGGUUGGAAAGUUUCGGCGGUUGGGGAUGGACUCGCGGCUUAUCAGCUUGUUGGUGGGGUAGUGGCUUACCAAGGCUUUGACGGGUAGCCGGCCUGAGAGGGUGACCGGGCACAUUGGGACUAAGAUACGGCGCAGACUCCUACGGGAGGCAGCAGGGGGGAAUAUUGCGCAAUGGGCGGAAGCCUGAUGCAGCAACGCCGCGUGCGGGAUGACGGCCUUCGGGUUAUAAACCGCUUUCGCCUGUGACGAGGCGUGAGUGACGGUAAUGGGUAAAGAAGCACCGGCUAACUACGUG